RNAcentral lists this unclassified non-coding RNA (2574 nucleotides) under Caenorhabditis elegans. RNAcentral describes it as "Non-coding transcript of protein-coding gene F17B5.1b". Lineage: Eukaryota; Metazoa; Nematoda; Chromadorea; Rhabditida; Rhabditidae. The record is from RNAcentral.
AUGACAGAGUCGAUUGAUGGAAACCCUUGGAGAAUUCUCGAACUUGUGGCUGAGAAUGAAUAUCAUCUAGAACAAGACAAUAAUGUUGAUCAACUUGAACAAUUUUCUGUAAUCCCCGGAUUUCAAGAAGAACUUGUUGAAUUUGCAAAGAAAAAACUAUUGGAUUCCAUAGAAGUUCAACAAUUUCUUGUGGAAAGAGAUAUUGAGUUUCAGGAGAAGAAUAUUGCGUCACUGAUAGAUGAAUUAAGUGAUAAUCAAGACGAUGAGUCGAAUUCCAAAGAAAUACAUUUGGAAUUGAAAUCUUCAAAAAACAAAUAUGAAGGUCUUAGAAAGAAGAUCGCAAGUUUCAAAGGGAGACAACAGAAAGCUGUGGGAUUUUUGAAUUCUGGACUAGAGGAAAUUCGAAUUCUAACUUCUCCCAAUGACAAAUUUUGCUACAAAGUGAAGAAUGCUUCUUGGAGGUGUUCGGUCGAUAAUUCCAUUGAUCUACAGAAGAUCAAAUUGAUAUGCGAGAAGUUAAUCGGAUUGGAAAAGAAAAUGGAAGUUACAUUUUGGACAUCUGAGAUCAUGAAACUUCUAGAAAAUCUUGAUCAACGACAUUAUGCAGUAGCAUUUGGGAUUAUUAUUGGGAUGGCAACUUGGGAAUACGAAAACUCAGAAAAAUAUCAUUUGCUGGCACUUAUACACCUUUCAAUUGGUAGAGAUGAAACAAAGACGGAUGUACUUCUGUAUUGGGAGAAUUGGGAGAAUGAGUCAAUUGAACAAUCCAUCGUUAGUUUGAGAAUUUUGAUGAUUUUCUACAUGAAAAUAAGUAUUGAUGAUUUGGAGUGCAGGGAAAACUUUGAGUUCAGAAUUUGCCAGGUAAUCGUUUUCAUUUUGGAGCACAAAGAGUUUGAGUCAAGCCACUUGACCAUGAUAACUGAACUCCUCGGAAGUAUUGAACAACGAUUUGGGAAUUUCACGGAAAUGUGUGACAUUAUGUUCACACAUUUUGAAGCGAAAGCUCAGAUGUUUGACAGGUUUGUUAUUAAAAUCUUUUUGAUUGCUAUCCAGGACUCUCACAUUUCCUUCGACACUUGGAACGCACUUUUCGGCCAAACGCCGUUUCAAACUUUGUCAGGAUUUUGGAAGACGUUGGUGAGACUAUGAGCAGUAGGAGAAAAUCGGAUGUCUGUCCAACUUCUGCUCAAUGUUUGAAACAUUUCUAAAAAACUAUCGGCGGACUUCUAGAUUUUAAACUGAUGAACCUUUUUUUGUAGCUAUGAAGCAAAGAUGCUAGUUUUCAUGAGAAAUGAGCAUUUGUCUCUUCUCCAAACACAACACAUCGACCAAUGCAUGGACACUCUGAAUAUUCUGAUUUUAUUGUACUUGAAAAUAAAAAUCGAUAAGUGGACGUAUAGAGAGAUAAUUGAACAAAGAAUUUCUCAGUUCAUCAUUUGCAUUUUGGAGCACACAGAGUUUCAGUCAAUCCACUUGACACUUAUAAUUCAGCACCUUGAAAGUAUCGAGCAACAAUUCGGGUGCUUUUCUGGAAAGUUCGACAAUAUGUUCAAAAUUUUUGAAUUGAAGCUUCAGAUUCUUGACAGACCAGAACAAGAACGAGUUUCCAAAUGGAUAAAGUCGCUUUCUUUGCGUUCUUCAAUCUCAGAGUUCUCGUCUGAACACUCUCAUAGUACAGUUACAGUAAUUGAGCACUCUGAGAAAACCUAUGAGCUUGAACAAAACGUUCGAAUUGACCUUGAGGAAACAUUGAAAUUGGAGAAAAGAAUUGAAGAAGUAUCGAUAGAGGAAUCCAAGAAGAAACAGGAGAAACUGGAGUUGAAGCAGAGAGAGGAGGAAGAAGCAAGAAUCAAGGAAGAAGAAGAAAAACAAAGAAAGAUUUUGGAAGAGGAAGCUAGGAAAAAACAGGAAGAGGAAGAAGCAAGGUUAAAAGCGGAGGAAGAAUUGAAAAUUUAUGAAGAAGAAAAACGCAAGAAAGAGUUGGAAGAGGAAAGGAAGAAGAAGGAAGAACUGGAAAUAAAACGGAAAGCUGAAGAAGAGAAGAAAAAAAAAGCUCUGGAAGAGGAAAAGAAAAGAAAAAUCGCAGAAGAGAAAGCUAGGCAAAAACAGGAAAAAGAAAGAAAAAAGCAGGCGAAUAAAUGCACAUUCCUCCAAAAUUUCACAUUUAUCAGGCACCAACAUCCAUCUCAAACAUAUAACGAGCGAGUGCUCGAUGGAAAAGUGGUUGGACUGUAUUUCUCUGCUCAUUGGUGUCCGCCAUCUCGCGAUUUCACUCCGGUUCUUGCACAAUUCUAUAGUCAAGUAGAGGAUAACUUCGAAAUACUAUUCGUUUCGAGCGACAAUAAUACACAAGAAAUGAACUUCUACUUGCAAAAUUUCCAUGGCGAUUGGUUCCAUUUGCCACUCAAUUUGUGCAAUUCAAUGAAGCACCGAAAUACCAAAAAUCAUAUUCCUGCCUUAAUAAUAAUGAAACCCGAUGGAACAGUUAUUACUGAUGAUGGACGAAAUCUAGUUUCUCAAUGGAUCAACGAUCCGAAAGCAUUGGUCAACCAUUGGAAAGCAAUGUUGAACUGA